Molecule: non-coding RNA, 125 nt
Organism: Triticum aestivum (bread wheat)
Lineage: Eukaryota; Viridiplantae; Streptophyta; Magnoliopsida; Poales; Poaceae
Source: Rfam
AAUAUACUCCCUUCGUCAGGAAUUAUUUGUCGCAGAAAUUGAUAAAAACAGGUGUAUCUAAAACUAAGAUAUGUUUAGAUACAUCCAUUUCUCCGACAAGUAAUUCCGGACGAAGGGAGCGAUGA